This 468-nucleotide ribosomal RNA is filed under the name uncultured bacterium. RNAcentral's name for it is "partial 16S ribosomal RNA". It matches the Rfam family "Bacterial small subunit ribosomal RNA", at positions 28 to 507 of the family's 1533-position model. The record is from RNAcentral.
GACGAACGCUGGCGGCGUGCUUAACACAUACAAGUCGAACGGUGAAGCUCCAGCUUGCUGGAGUGGAUCAGUGGCGAACGGGUGAGUAACACGUGAGCAACCUGCCCCUGACUCUGGAAUAAGCGCUGGAAACGGCGUCUAAUACUGGAUACGAGAAGGGUCCGCAUGGGCACUUUCUGGAAAGUUUUUCGGUUGGGGAUGGGCUCGCGGCCUAUCAGCUUGUUGGUGAGGUAAUGGCUCACCAAGGCGACGACGGGUAGCCGGCCUGAGAGGGCGACCGGCCACACUGGGAUUGAGACACGGCCCAGACUCCUACGGGAGGCAGCAGUGGGGAAUAUUGCACAAUGGGCGAAAGCCUGAUGCAGCGACGCCGCGUGAGGGAUGACGGCCUUCGGGUUGUAAACCUCUUUCAGCAGGGAAGAAGCGAAAGUGACGGUACCUGCAGAAGAAGCACCGGCUAACUACGUG